Molecule: ribosomal RNA, 510 nt
Filed under: uncultured bacterium
Lineage: Bacteria
Description: bacterial SSU rRNA
Rfam family: Bacterial small subunit ribosomal RNA
Source: RNAcentral
CUGGCUCAGAACGAACGCUGGCGGCGCGUCUUAAGCAUGCAAGUCGAACGGCAAGAGGUAGCAAUACCUCCUAGAGUGGCGGACUGGUGAGUAACACGUGGGUGACAUACCCUUCAGAUGGGGAUAGCUAUUAGAAAUAGUAGAUAAUACCGAAUACGAGCACAGGGGUUAGAGAUCUGUGAGGAAAGGAGCUAAGGCUCCGCUGAAGGAAUGGCCUGCGGCCCAUUAGCUAGUUGGUGAGGUAAGAGCCCACCAAGGCGAUGAUGGGUAUCCGGCCUUAGAGGGUGAACGGACACAUUGGGACUGAGAUACGGCCCAGACUCCUACGGGAGGCAGCAGCUAAGAAUAUUCCGCAAUGGACGAAAGUCUGACGGAGCGACGCCGCGUGGAUGAAGAAGGCCGGAAGGUUGUAAAAUCCUUUUGAAACUGAAGAAUAAGCGUUGUAGGGAAUGACAGCGUGGUGACAGUAGGUUUUGAAUAAGCAACGGCUAAUUACGUGCCAGCAGCGGC